GUCUCUGGGGCGCAACCACAACCACUAGCGUCCUGGCAUCAGCAGUGUUGUGGCUCUUGUUGUCUUCUUAGUGCUGCAGUAACGAACAGCGGGGUCCUGGGGGUCACUAAGAGUGGGGUGCUAGAGUCUUGAACAGUGGGGUGCUAGAAACACGAACAGUGGUAUGCUAGAUUCACGAACAAUGAGGUGCUAAAGUUACGAAGAAUUGGGUGCUUGGGUCACCAAUAUCGGGGUACUAGCGUCACAAACAGGAGAAUACUAGGGUCAUGAACAUCGAGGUAAUAGGAUCACGAAUCCUGGGGUCGUGAACACUGGGGUAUUGGGCCACUAAUAAUGGGGUACUGAGAUCAUAAAUGAUGAGGUAUUAGGGUCACGAACAUCAGGGCACUUUGCUCACGUACAUUGGGUACUAAUAUCAAAGAGAGUCUGGUACUGGUGUCACAAACAAUGGAGUCCUGGAGUUACGAACAAUGGAGUAAUGAGGUCACGAACAUCGGGGUACCUUGAUCGCGAACAGUAGUUUACUAAGGUCAUUAACACUGGGGUAUUGGGGUCACGAAUAAAUAUGUACUUGGGUCACGAACAGUAGGGUACUGGGGACACGAAUACCGAGGUACUGGAGUCAUGAAUACCGAGGUAUGGGAGUCAUGAAUACCGAGGUACUGGAGUCAUGAAUACCGAGGUACUGGAGUCAUGAAUACCGAGGUACGGGAGUCAUGAAUACCGAGGUACUGGAGUCAUGAAUACCGAGGUACUGGAGUCAUGAAUACCGAGGUACUGGAGUCAUCAAUACCGAAGUACUGGAGUCAUCAAUACCGAGGUACUGGAGUCAUCAAUACCGAGGUACUGGAGUCAUGAAUACCGAGGUACUGGAGUCAUGAAUACCGAGGUACUGGAGUCAUGAAUACCGAGGUACUGGAGUCAUGAAUACCGAGGUACGGGAGUCAUGAAUACCGAGGUACUGGAGGCAUGAAUACCGAGGUACGGGAGUCAUGAAUACCGGGGUACUGGAGUCAUGAAUACCGAGGUACUGGAGUCAUCAAUACCGAAGUACUGGAGUCAUCAAUAACAAGCCAUAAUAACCUUCACCUGUCACUUUAGCCCAGCUCACCGCUCUCAUCAAUACCUUUGACUAGUUUUUUUCUUAAGCUUCAGUCGCUCAGGUGCCUCACUCUAUACGUCACCUUGGGUGAAAUAUCUAAUUAAAAUGUUUUCCCUACUAA
Non-coding RNA from Cherax quadricarinatus, 1223 nucleotides. The record is from RefSeq and is a predicted model, not a curated record. NCBI's taxonomy places the organism in Eukaryota, Metazoa, Arthropoda, Malacostraca, Decapoda, Parastacidae.